AUUGAACGCUGGCGGCAGGCCUAACACAUGCAAGUCGAGCGGGGUUUUCGGACCUAGCGGCGGACGGGUGAGUAAUGCGUAGGAAGCUACCCGAUAGAGGGGGAUACCAGUUGGAAACGACUGUUAAUACCGCAUAAUGUCUACGGACCAAAGUGUGGGACCUUCGGGCCACAUGCUAUCGGAUGCGCCUACGUGGGAUUAGCUAGUUGGUGGGGUAAUGGCUCACCAAGGCGACGAUCCCUAGCUGGUUUGAGAGGAUGAUCAGCCACACUGGAACUGAGACACGGUCCAGACUCCUACGGGAGGCAGCAGUGGGGAAUAUUGGACAAUGGGCGCAAGCCUGAUCCAGCCAUGCCGCGUGUGUGAAGAAGGCCUUCGGGUUGUAAACUGCUUUUGUACGGAACGAAAAGGUUUCUAUUAAUACUAGGAGCUCAUGACGGUACCGUAAGAAUAAGCACCGGCUAACUACGUG
RNAcentral lists this ribosomal RNA (472 nucleotides) under uncultured bacterium. Its description in RNAcentral is "bacterial SSU rRNA". It matches the Rfam family "Bacterial small subunit ribosomal RNA", at positions 30 to 507 of the family's 1533-position model. The record is from RNAcentral.